UACGAAGGGGGCUAGCGUUGCUCGGAAUCACUGGGCGUAAAGCGCACGUAGGCGGACUCUUAAGUCGGUGGUGAAAUCCUGGAGCUCAACCCCAGAACUGCCUUCGAUACUGGGAGUCUCGAGUUCGGGAGAGGUGAGUGGAACUGCGAGUGUAGAGGUGAAAUUCGUAGAUAUUCGCAAGAACACCAGUGGCGAAGGCGGCUCACUGGCCCGAUACUGACGCUGAGGUGCGAAAGCGUGGGGAGCAAACAGG
RNAcentral lists this ribosomal RNA (253 nucleotides) under uncultured bacterium. RNAcentral describes it as "partial 16S ribosomal RNA". It matches the Rfam family "Bacterial small subunit ribosomal RNA", at positions 524 to 776 of the family's 1533-position model. The record is from RNAcentral.